Molecule: ribosomal RNA, 330 nt
Filed under: uncultured eukaryote
Lineage: Eukaryota
Description: partial 18S ribosomal RNA
Rfam family: Eukaryotic small subunit ribosomal RNA
Source: RNAcentral
CCCUUAGAUGUUCUGGGCCGCACGCGCGCUACACUGAUGCAUUCAACGAGUCUAAAACCUGGUCUGAUAGGGCUGGGUAAUCUUUUGAAUGUGCAUCGUGAUUGGGAUAGAUGAUUGCAAUUCUUCAUCUUCAACGAGGAAUGCCUAGUAAACGCAAGUCAUCAGCUUGCAUUGAUUACGUCCCUGCCCUUUGUACACACCGCCCGUCGCUCCUACCGAUUGAAUGUUCCGAUGAAUACCAUGGACUGAGAGUAUGAAUGGGUUCGCCUAUUUCUGCUUCUCGGGAAGUGGAGUAAACCUUAUCAUUUAGAGGAAGGAGAAGUCGUAACA